Molecule: non-coding RNA, 536 nt
Organism: Chiloscyllium plagiosum (whitespotted bambooshark)
Lineage: Eukaryota; Metazoa; Chordata; Chondrichthyes; Orectolobiformes; Hemiscylliidae
Source: RefSeq, a predicted model, not a curated record
CAAUUGCAACGGAGUGUCAGCAAUUAUGGCUCAGCAGUCAGAAGAACCAUUUGGGUUGCUGUUGAGAGGCAUACACCCAGAUUGCCAAUGCUUGUCUAGGCCACAAAGGUCCUCUAAAGUUGGUCUCGGCACAAGCGAUGCUGAUUAGAUAUGGCAGAUAUUCAUUGGGUGAUGCAGCUUCUGAUCCAAUCACUUGCUCAGAGCAUACCAGAUGCUAAGAAAUAUUGGCAUGGGAAUCAAAGUAGGUGACUGGAGCAUUCAGCUUGCUGUAUUCUCCAAGAGACCUCCAUGUUAGACUCAAGGCACCAGCAUCUCAGGGCAUGCUCCAUGAGCACAGGCCACUCCGAACUUUUGACUGGCAGAACAUUCACCAUCUUCAACAUUCACUUCCUCUAUCAUUGGUGCAUACUGGCAGCAGACUGCAACACAGGAGGCCUUGAGGUACCUUUAUCAGAGAAAAUGAAAGAAAUUUCUGGAUUUUUAAACCCAAAUGGGGUAUAGCAAUUCAAAGUGAUGCCUUUUGGAAUGAAGAACAC